RNAcentral lists this unclassified non-coding RNA (288 nucleotides) under Hevea brasiliensis (rubber tree). Lineage: Eukaryota; Viridiplantae; Streptophyta; Magnoliopsida; Malpighiales; Euphorbiaceae. The record is from RNAcentral.
UUAAGCCCAGAGACUGCAAGCUAUAGCUUUCAUCUUGGAAUCACUAAACAAAACCCAGUAACCCGAAAACUGAUCGCCGGCCAGCUGUUCUCCAAUCCAAAAAUGGUCAACUACUGAAUAAACAACUACCCAGAAUCUCAAAAGCUGAAAAAAUCCAAAUCAGAAAUGUGAAACAGUCUUAUAAUAAGGCUGCUAUAUAAGAAAUAAAAAUUCAGAGAAACAGAAACUGAGGGAGACAGAGAGACUUCGUGUGAAAGCUUUUUGGAGAGAGAGAGAGAGAGAGAGAGA